GAAAGUCCAUGGAAGAACUGCACACUGGAAUCACUGUAGACAAUUGAAGCACUGACCUCUUUCCACCCCAGGAACAAGAUAUUUAUACCAGCUGGGAAACAGGGAUUGGCUGGCUGAUUAACCAGAGACCAGAGUGCAGCUGCUGGGUAAUCAGGCUGAGAGCAGAGUGCAGCUGAUAGGCUGAAAGGUAACAUGUGAUUAGGAAAACAUGGCUGCGCCCAUGUUAGCUUUUGGAGGGAAAGAUUGUUUGUAACUUGCAUGUGAAACUUAACCCUGAUGCUGCCAGAAUCACAGUAAAGAGAUUAGAGACAGAGAUGCAGCGUGCUGCACACAGACAGUGCAGAUGGAAUCCAGGCUUGGAACACUGGGACAGUCUCAGGAGGCAAUUGGAAGUGCUCCAGCCCUGUCUCACAACCCCUCCAUCCGCUCUCCAAUGUGAAAUGGCACCUGAUCACAAAUUAAGGACUUUUAUGCAAUCCAAAUCACGCAAGUGCCGUCUCCAGGAAAAUGAUGCGUUAACUCAUUCUGGGAUCCGAGUUUGGCGACCAGAGAUUUCUGCGGACCCCCAUGUUUGGGUUUUGCUUCUAAUUCAUCAUUGUGUUUUGGUAUUGUCAAAACCACCCU
This is a long non-coding RNA of Pseudophryne corroboree (corroboree frog), 624 nucleotides long. RefSeq lists it as uncharacterized. The record is from RefSeq and is a predicted model, not a curated record. The transcript has 3 exons. Lineage: Eukaryota; Metazoa; Chordata; Amphibia; Anura; Myobatrachidae.